Molecule: ribosomal RNA, 478 nt
Filed under: uncultured bacterium
Lineage: Bacteria
Description: partial 16S ribosomal RNA
Rfam family: Bacterial small subunit ribosomal RNA
Source: RNAcentral
GACGAACGCUGGCGGCGUGCUUAACACAUGCAAGUCGAACGGUAAGGCCCUUCGGGGUACACGAGUGGCGAACGGGUGAGUAACACGUGGGUGAUCUGCCCUGCACUUCGGGAUAAGCCCGGGAAACUGGGUCUAAUACCGGAUAGGACCACUGCCUGCAUGGGUGGUGGUGGAAAGCUUUUGCGGUGUGGGAUGGGCCCGCGGCCUAUCAGCUUGUUGGUGGGGUGAUGGCCUACCGAGGCGACGACGGGUAGCCGGCCUGAGAGGGUGACCGGCCACACUGGGACUGAGAUACGGCCCAGACUCCUACGGGAGGCAGCAGUGGGGAAUAUUGCACAGUGGGCGCAAGCCUGAUGCAGCGACGCCGCGUGAGGGAUGACGGCCUUCGGGUUGUAAACCUCUUUCAGCACCGACGAAGCGCAAGUGACGGUAGGUGCAGAAGAAGGACCGGCCAACUACGUGCCAGCCGCCGCGGUAA